UCCGUAGGCGGGUUUAUAAGUCAGUGGUGAAAGUUUGCGGCUCAACCGUAAAAUUGCCAUUGAUACUGUAGACUUUGAAUUAGUGUGAAGUGGUUAGAAUGUGUAGUGUAGCGGUGAAAUGCAUAGAUAUUACACAGAAUGCCAAUUGCGAAGGCAGAUCACUAACACGAUAUUGACGCUGAGGGACGAAAGCAUGGGGAGCUAACAGGAUUAGAUACCCUGGUAGUCC
This 229-nucleotide ribosomal RNA is filed under the name uncultured bacterium. RNAcentral's name for it is "partial 16S ribosomal RNA". It matches the Rfam family "Bacterial small subunit ribosomal RNA", at positions 568 to 796 of the family's 1533-position model. The record is from RNAcentral.